Molecule: long non-coding RNA, 585 nt
Filed under: Physcomitrium patens
Lineage: Eukaryota; Viridiplantae; Streptophyta; Bryopsida; Funariales; Funariaceae
Description: long non-coding RNA (PPAT_LNC005423)
Source: RNAcentral
UCCAGGUUUUGGAAGAUUGCGGCGUCGGCCAGUCUGAGGAGGUGUUACUGUGCUAGUCAGCCCGCAGCGUAGCGUAGAGCAUGAACACACAUUGAUCGCCCAUUGUCAAGGCUCUUUGGCGCACAUGGGCGUGGGGUUGUGUGUUUGCUUGGUGGGCUACACUAGCACGUCGAGGGAGAGCUUGAGUUGGACGUAGGGGGUUUGCGACACUGGAAGUCUGUGUGAGCGGAGAACCGAGCUACAACACGACGCGGAAGCACGCCGGAGCAGCUGAUCCGUGGCGCGGAAUUCAUGAAGUACGGAUCCAAUGGCCAGAUGCUUGAUGUCCUUAGUAGUGCUUAUGGGGGUCGAUACGAUGUGGCUGAGGAGGGGGUUCGGGCAUCGGGUAGGCAGUUUGAGGGAGUGGGGGCGUACAGCGAGUUGCUCAUAAACGGGCGGGGUAGACGGGGAGUGCGGAAGCCGAUGCUUAGCAGCCGUAGUAUUGCCAUGAAAAUAUCAAGCAGGUGUUGAGAACGCAUCCAUGGGUCGGGUUGGAAGGCGAGGGUUUUGUUUACAGUUUGUCCCCAGAAGGUGCACACUUGGAAU